This 253-nucleotide ribosomal RNA is filed under the name uncultured bacterium. RNAcentral describes it as "partial 16S ribosomal RNA". It matches the Rfam family "Bacterial small subunit ribosomal RNA", at positions 524 to 776 of the family's 1533-position model. The record is from RNAcentral.
UACGUAGGGGGCGAGCGUUAUCCGGAUUUAUUGGGCGUAAAGAGCGUGUAGGCGGCCAGGUAGGUCUGCUGUGAAAACUCGAGGCUCAACCUCGAGACGUCGGCGGAAACCAUCUGGCUAGAGUCCGGAAGAGGAGAGUGGAAUUCCUGGUGUAGCGGUGAAAUGCGCAGAUAUCAGGAAGAACACCCGUGGCGAAGGCGGCUCUCUGGGACGGUACUGACGCUGAGACGCGAAAGCGUGGGGAGCAAACAGG